Dryobates pubescens (Downy woodpecker) is the source of this 1211-nucleotide long non-coding RNA. RefSeq lists it as uncharacterized. The transcript has 3 exons. The record is from RefSeq and is a predicted model, not a curated record. NCBI's taxonomy places the organism in Eukaryota, Metazoa, Chordata, Aves, Piciformes, Picidae.
UAUAGCAAUUAUAGCCUGGUUCUUUGCACAAUCAUGUUUUAAAUGUUGUAAAAAUUGCACUUAGAAUGAAGGUUCUGGAUGAUCAUGUACUUCAUCCAUAGCUGUAAUCUGGCUUUGCAAACCUUGCUGUCUUCAUUGUGACUUCCUCUGGACUCUUGGCAUUUUUAUGUGCUUUAAAAGACAGAGAACAGUUUGUUACCCUAAUUACAAUUCACAGCAUGUCACUGCACUGUUGCUGGUUCAUGGUGAAGCAGCAAUCCUAAAGCAGCAGCAUCUCUCCUGAAGGACUGCUUGUUCCUAACAGCACUUGAGACUUGUGCCACUGACUGCAUUCUGAUUUUCCAGUUGUCCUGAUUUUACAGUACUAUGUUUGCAUGGAUUUGUGUGGAUUUACCUUAGCAUAAAGGGUGGAAACUCAAAUUUCCAGGCAUCUUGGUUUGUGUCUAAAUACAGAUUGUAAAGCUGCUAUAAAAGCUGCUUUCCCACCAUUUCUGCUUUGUCUGGUGUGACCUGCCCAUGUGGUAAGCCUUACUGCAGCUAUUUAGAGAGCUUUUUAAACACAGAUCAAACUAUUUGAUGUCUUUAUCCUUCAUGAAGCAUCAGAAAUGUGUUGACAGAGGUAGGGUGUAUGGCCUGGGCCAUGCUUGCACCUGCUGACAUCAUGCUUAUGAGCACUCGCAUAUACACCUGCCACUGAGACCUCUUGGCCAUCUGAUGGAUGACUGCUUCUAUAGCAAGAACACCUUCUUGUGUACAGCAGUGGCCUCAGACCUGUUUCACCCAGGCUGUUCCUCCUGGAUGCACUCUGCCAUUUCCUGCAGGAGGGUUCAUAAAGGAUACUGGACAUGAGAGGCAAAUUCCUGAAAAGGAAGAACAACUCAGAGGCUACAGGAAAGUUAAAUUUUGCUGGAAUACUUUAUUAAAGUUGUAUUUUUCACCAGGACUCUUGAGUCAUUCUUUACUGUGCUGGAGACUGGCAUCAACUGGGCACAGGGAAGCCACAUGCAGCACUGACAGAAGUGACAGUCUGGGGAGACUGGCAAAACUGAGUGAGCUGAAUGCUCCUUGUUAGUGCUUCUGAACAGGGAGCUAUGGAAUGACCCAACACAGCUGUAAUUAGCUGAAGAGACAAUUUUGGGUUUGUGGAUGACCAGUUUUGCAGCUUAUAGAUGCACUGCUCUGAGCUCCAAAAUCAUCACAGAGGAGCUGGG